Phascolarctos cinereus (koala) is the source of this 330-nucleotide non-coding RNA. The record is from RefSeq and is a predicted model, not a curated record. Lineage: Eukaryota; Metazoa; Chordata; Mammalia; Diprotodontia; Phascolarctidae.
CUAGUCAACAGGGAGGCAUUUUCCAAAGGUUUUUGCCCACGUCCUGGAAGAUGACUUGAAUACAAUUCGGAAAAAAAAGAAUUACAGAAUUUGAGAGUGGGAAGGGUCCUCAGUGGCCAUUUGUCCAACCCAUACCCUACAGGAAGCCCCACUGGAAUGUCCCAAGAAGUAGCCAUCCAACCUUUGCUGGAAGAACUCCAAGAAGGAGGAGGCCAUCCUACUGUUGGGCUAAUUUAUCUGAAAGGCUGUUGCUUGAGAAGGGCUUGGACUUAUUCUGCCUGGUCCCAGACGACAGAACCAAGAGUCAUGAGUGCACAGAGGACAAUUUGG